GACGAACGCUGGCGGCGUGCUUAACACAUGCAAGUCGAACGAUGAAGCCGGAGCUUGCUCUGGUGAAUUAGUGGCGAACGGGUGAGUAACACGUGAGUAACCUGCCCUUGACUCUGGGAUAACUGCGGGAAACUGUAGCUAAUACCGGAUACGACCCUCAGAGGCAUCUCCUGGGGGUGGAAAGAAUUUCGGUCAAGGAUGGACUCGCGGCCUAUCAGCUAGUUGGUGAGGUAACGGCUCACCAAGGCGACGACGGGUAGCCGGCCUGAGAGGGUGGCCGGCCACACUGGGACUGAGACACGGCCCAGACUCCUACGGGAGGCAGCAGUGGGGAAUAUUGCACAAUGGGCGCAAGCCUGAUGCAGCAACGCCGCGUGAGGGAUGACGGCCUUCGGGUUGUAAACCUCUUUUAGCAGGGAAGAAGCGAAAGUGACGGUACCUGCAGAAAAAGCACCGGCUAACCACGUGCCAGCCGCCGCCGUAA
RNAcentral lists this ribosomal RNA (484 nucleotides) under uncultured bacterium. RNAcentral's name for it is "partial 16S ribosomal RNA". It matches the Rfam family "Bacterial small subunit ribosomal RNA", at positions 28 to 523 of the family's 1533-position model. The record is from RNAcentral.